AUUGAACGCUGGCGGCAUGCCUUACACAUGCAAGUCGAACGGCAGCGGGGGAGAAGCUUGCUUUUCCUGCCGGCGAGUGGCGAACGGGUGAGUAAUACAUCGGAACGUGCCCUGUAGUGGGGGAUAACUAGUCGAAAGAUUAGCUAAUACCGCAUACGACCUGAGGGUGAAAGUGGGGGACCGCAAGGCCCCAUGCUAUAGGAGCGGCCGAUGUCUGAUUAGCUAGUUGGUGGGGUAAAGGCCUACCAAGGCGACGAUCAGUAGCUGGUCUGAGAGAACGAUCAGCGACAGUGGGACUGAGACACGGCCCAGACGCCUAAGGGAGGCAGCAGGGGGGAAUUUUGGACAAUGGGCGAAAGCCUGAUCCAGCAAUGCCGCGUGUGUGAAGAAGGCCUUCGGGUUGUAAAGCACUUUUGUCCGGAAAGAAAUGGCUCUGGUUAAUACCUGGGGUCGAUGACGGUACCGGAAGAAUAAGGACCGGCUAACAACGUGCCAGCAGCCGCCGUAA
Molecule: ribosomal RNA, 508 nt
Filed under: uncultured bacterium
Lineage: Bacteria
Description: partial 16S ribosomal RNA
Rfam family: Bacterial small subunit ribosomal RNA
Source: RNAcentral